Molecule: ribosomal RNA, 533 nt
Filed under: Escherichia coli
Lineage: Bacteria; Pseudomonadati; Pseudomonadota; Gammaproteobacteria; Enterobacterales; Enterobacteriaceae
Description: bacterial SSU rRNA
Rfam family: Bacterial small subunit ribosomal RNA
Source: RNAcentral
CUUGGGCUUCUUUGCUGACGAGUGGCGGACGGGUGAGUAAUGUCUGGGAAACUGCCUGAUGGAGGGGGAUAACUACUGGAAACGGUAGCUAAUACCGCAUAACGUCGCAAGACCAAAGAGGGGGACCUUCGGGCCUCUUGCCAUCGGAUGUGCCCAGAUGGGAUUAGCUUGUUGGUGGGGUAACGGCUCACCAAGGCGACGAUCCCUAGCUGGUCUGAGAGGAUGACCAGCCACACUGGAACUGAGACACGGUCCAGACUCCUACGGGAGGCAGCAGUGGGGAAUAUUGCACAAUGGGCGCAAGCCUGAUGCAGCCAUGCCGCGUGUAUGAAGAAGGCCUUCGGGUUGUAAAGUACUUUCAGCGGGGAGGAAGGGAGUAAAGUUAAUACCUUUGCUCAUUGACGUUACCCGCAGAAGAAGCACCGGCUAACUCCGUGCCAGCAGCCGCGGUAAUACGGAGGGUGCAAGCGUUAAUCGGAAUUACUGGGCGUAAAGCGCACGCAGGCGGUUUGUUAAGUCAGAUGUGAAAUCCC